GACGAACGCUGGCGGCGUGCUUAACACAUGCAAGUCGAACGGAAAGGCCCUGCUUUUGUGGGGUGCUCGAGUGGCGAACGGGUGAGUAACACGUGAGUAUCCUGCCCUUGACUUUGGGAUAACUUCAGGAAACUGGGGCUAAUACCGGAUAGGAGCUCCUGCUGCAUGGUGGGGGUUGGAAAGUUUCGGCGGUGGGGGAUGGACUCGCGGCUUAUCAGCUUGUUGGUGGAGUAGUGGCGUACCAAGGCGUUGACGGGUAGCCGGCCUGAGAGGGUGGCCGGCCACAAUGGGACUGAGAUACGGCCCAGACUCCUACGGGAGGCAGCAGUGGGGAAUAUUGCACAAUGGGCGGAAGCCUGAUGCAGCAACGCCGCGUGCGGGAUGACGGCCUUCGGGUUGUAAACCGCUUUCGCAUGUGACGAAGCGUGAGUGACGGUAAUGGAUAAAGAAGCACCGGCUAACUACGUG
This 468-nucleotide ribosomal RNA is filed under the name uncultured bacterium. RNAcentral describes it as "partial 16S ribosomal RNA". It matches the Rfam family "Bacterial small subunit ribosomal RNA", at positions 28 to 507 of the family's 1533-position model. The record is from RNAcentral.